CGGGGGAGGCUGGGUCCUGGGCUGUGUCCCGGCGCCCUGUGCUCCAGGGCCUGCGCUGUUGGAUUUGCGCUCCCGCCCCGCAGCCCCCU
Molecule: microRNA precursor, 89 nt
Filed under: Canis lupus familiaris (dog)
Lineage: Eukaryota; Metazoa; Chordata; Mammalia; Carnivora; Canidae
Description: mir-8799 microRNA precursor family
Rfam family: mir-8799 microRNA precursor family
Source: Rfam by way of RNAcentral